Molecule: transfer RNA, 47 nt
Filed under: Lepidodactylus euaensis
Lineage: Eukaryota; Metazoa; Chordata; Lepidosauria; Squamata; Gekkonidae
Description: partial tRNA-Cys
Source: RNAcentral
AAGCCCCGGGCACCUUGCUGGGGUGUGUCUCCAAAUUUGCACUUUGG